AACGCACAUUGCGCCCAUUAGUAUUCUAGUGGUCAUGCCUGUUCGAGCGUCAUUUCAACCCUUAAGCCCCUGUUGCUUAGUGUUGGGAGACUACGUCAGCGUAGCUCCUCAAAGUUAGUGGCAGAGUCAGUUCGAACUCUAGGUGUAGUAAAUCUCUUCUCGCCUUUGCAGUUGGGCUGCCCCUCGCCGUAAAACCCCUAAUCUUCCAAAGGUUGACCUCGGAUCAGGUAGGAAUACCCGCUGAACUUAA
This 250-nucleotide unclassified non-coding RNA is filed under the name uncultured Xylariales. Its description in RNAcentral is "sequence contains 5.8S rRNA gene, ITS2, 28S rRNA gene". The record is from RNAcentral. Lineage: Eukaryota; Fungi; Ascomycota; Sordariomycetes; Xylariales.